Molecule: long non-coding RNA, 3851 nt
Organism: Salvelinus fontinalis (brook trout)
Lineage: Eukaryota; Metazoa; Chordata; Actinopteri; Salmoniformes; Salmonidae
Exons: 4
Source: RefSeq, a predicted model, not a curated record
AGCAAUAUACAAACUAAAGUAACCUACCUUUAUAAGUUCAGCAGUGUGGUCAGAUAGUAACUUGACAGUGGGUAAUUCUGAGACAUCGGUUUGGACAGAAGCAUCUGGACCAAAGAAUCCCACCCUCAAUUGAUUUCCCAGUGAAAACCUCCACAUUAGGCGCCGCAGCAGACAAACAGAUUAUGGUGUUGCUAUAGCAACUUGGACAACUGGGAAACUGGCUCUCAUCAGGAGCAGGCUUCCGUCCUUAUCUCCUCCAUGACCCGGAAAAACUGUUAAGCUGUCGCCAUAUGUAGGAGUGUCAAUUCGUGUAUCCUACUGCGUGACAGCCUACCCUGGAGAAACCCUGACGAUGCUGGGCCAAUUGUGCGCAAUCACAGCUGGUUGUGAUACAGCCUGGAAUUGAAGCACGGUGUCUGUAGUGAUGCCUCUAGCACUGAGAUGCAGUGCCUUAGACUACCGCGCCACUCGGAAGCCCUCGGGAGAGUCGAAGGAGAGUUUCAUUUCAUACAAGCACAUUAGUAUCCACGUUUUCUCUGCACAUCUGAUUACCUUUGACCUUUUUCAAGAGGAGGCGAGGAGAGGACAGAAUUCCAAUUUAGAUUCUCGCUUUGUAACAGUGAUUUGACGGUGCAGAGUUUUAGAAUACAUGUUGCCAUCUAGUGGUGAUAGGAUAGUACCUCAUUGGGGAAUUCAAUCUUGCAGCGAUAAACUGCACGUUUAUCACAUUUGUCGUUUAAGCAAAGGCUGCAUGAGUCAAUCUGUUGAUGCGAAUUGUGGUAAAGUUAAAUAUGUAAUCUGUAGGUUUAAGUAACACAUUUGUAAUGAUAAUAACCACAACAGCUUGCAUGGCAUUUGUUAAGCAGUACCCCAGUAUUUGAUAUUAUUAAUUCUCUGUCCUAUUCAAGUCAGCAAAGCUGUUGUAUUUUAAUCAACCAACCAAGGCAGAGUUGGGCACUCAGCCAAUUAUCCAACAGCGCUGUUGCCAUAAUGUAAACGAUUUAAUUUCCAAGCAGCAUAGCAUGUUAGCAGUAUUGAAUCAUAAAACAAAUAAAAAAUCUAAGAAAUGUAAAAUGAUCAACAUCCAUAUUUUCCAUUCCAGUAUUUUCCAUACUGUGUGAUUUAAUCAGAAUCAAGUGCCAUCUGCUUUGAGACAAAAAAUCUGAAACAUCCAAAAUAUCACCUCACAUAGCUGCAGCCUAUAAAAUAGACUAGAAAGUAAAAAUUGACAUCAUAGCUCAAGUGGGGAAAGCCAAGGCAUGAUGAAAUCACUAAAUACCCCAGGCACAAAGUAGAUUAAGCCUAGCAGCACAUGACCCAAUCAUUCAGAGGCAGACAGAGCCCACAGCAGGCGAUGUGUUAAGGGGACAGAGUCAGCAAAUUAACCCCAUGGGAUCACAACAUGGUUCACACACAGAGGGCCAGAUUGGAUGGAAAAUAAAUCAAAACAAAGCUCUUUUAGGCCAGCCCACCCACAAUAGCCAGCGACAAUAACAUCACAACAGAGGAAAUGUGAAUAUUUGGAACAAAUGGCGUCCCAUACUAAAAUAAUCCGAACUGCGAAGCCUCCAUAUGCAAAUAAAAAAAAGUAAUUACUUAGUCAGAGGUUUAGGAGCAUCUGACACUUUGAGGUUUUAAUCUGACAUAUGGUUUGUUUGUGGGAGCAGAGGAGUGUUGUCAUACAGAAGGUUUAAAACUGAUUUUAGGGGGUAGAAUACGAAUUGUAUAUGAUUCAGAUUACAAAUAUUUUAGUUCCAUAAUAUUAUAUCAUCUGUUCCCCCCAACAUCAUCUCUGAUGUUUUAUGUGAUGACAUCACAGGCAUAGCAAUAUGAUCUCAAAUGGUCACAAGUCUUUUGAGAAGAGGAGCCUCAGCCAUAUUAUAUCCCUUCUUAGUUGAGACCAUUACAAUGUGCUUCAAUUACAUUUAAAAAAAACUAGAACGGUUCCUUAAUGAUUAUGACACACAACCAUUUUAUGCCCAGUCUGUGGAGAAAUUGACUGAAUUGGCGACACUUUUACAUCAGGGCCUAGUGGAGAGGAAACACUUUAUUUUAAUACAUUUCCUCCCUUCCUGUCCUCUGUCAUUUCCCUGUGAUAGUAAACUCUCCUGGACGCAUCCAACCGUUUCUGUGGCCAAGAGUGGGAAUAAAAUCAUUAAACCAUAAGUCACUUGGCAAGCAGGAAUAAAGGGCCCUCUGUUUCUCUGAGUCCUCCAGAAAAGAGCUGCAUGGUUUGUUGGUUUCAUUUAGAAACCAACAAGUUAAUGUUGCAUAUAAUGUAAUGUUUUGGAACUUAAAAUGUGAUUUUAUAUUGACUGAUGAAGCAUAGUAUAUGACUACUGUAAGGUAAAACUGGUGAAAUCAGAGGUGAGGCUUCUUCCAAUGGCCAAUCAUUUUAGAAAGGGUCUGAAAAAUGUACCAAAUAUGAUACAUGUAUGACCACACGAGGGCCCCAGAGAGAGCUCUGAGAAGACAGUUCUUUUUAAAAAAAAAUGCUGGUUCCAGGAUCCCACCUUAAAUAAGUAAUUCAGUAUCAAUAACAAAACCAGAGUAGAGCUACAAUUAUCUGGUUCUCAAUAGAUUUGGGAUAUUUAAGAAUACAGUACAUACUAACAUUCACUUACAUUGAAAAAAUCACCCAAUAGCCUUUGUGAGCAAUGUGCUGUGAAAAGCACAGAAUGUGUCACGCUAUCAACACCUGUCAUUGACUAUUAGCUACAUAAAGGUGAUGUUUAACCCUCAGUGGUAUAAAUGUUUAAGCAUUCCCUAUAAUAUUUCUGCCGUUUCUAUACAAGGCUUUAUUUAGUUUUGAAUUGAUCAAAUUGCCCCAUUGGUAAACAGUGCCCAGUCAAGUGCCCACCACAUACUGGUUAUACUACUUGUGACAGGUUAUAUUCCUAUAACCCUAAGAGGAUAGCUAUGGACCUCUGUGUGCUUCCUUGCCUGUGUGUGUAUACCCUUUCUCAGGGCUAGGGAAACCCCCUUGGCCCUUCCUCAAGACAUGAAGGGAGAGUGUUGGACUGCUGAAAAUAAACCCCUAUUAAAGCCAUUUUAUUCCUGCUUCAGAGAAUCAUGACAGCAGAAACUGUCUCCCUCUGUAACAUGUGGUGGGAGAUAUUUUGGGACAUUAGCCUGCAAAUAGACCACAAACCUAUACAUGACACAGAGAGCCAGGACAGUGAUCUUAAUUAUUAUGAUGACAAUUAAUGAUGCAUCUUAACUAAAGUAUAUGGUCCUAUGCUUCUGUAUUGCAUAUACUGCGUGUACACUUUAGAACAUAGUGUUUUCAGUGGUGGAAAAAGUACCCAAUUGUCAUACUUGAGUAAAAGUAAAAAUACCUUGAUAGGAAAUGACUCAUUUAAAAGUGAAUGUCACCCAGUAGAAUGCUAAAAUAUGCUUAAGUAUCAAAAGUAAAAGUAUAAAUCAUUUCACAUUCUUUAUAUUAAGCAAACCAUACGGCACCGUUUUCUGAUUUUUUAAAUUAACGGCUAGCCAGGGGUACACACCAACACUCAGACAUUUACAAAUGACGCAUGUGUGUUUAGUGAGUCCGCCAGAUCAGAAGCAGUAGGGAUGACAAGGGAUGUUGUCUUGAUAAAUGGGAAUUAGACAAUUUCCCUGUCCUGCUAAGCAUUCAAAAUGUAACAAGUACUUUUUGGGUGUCAGUGAAAAUGUAAGAAAUAAAAAAUACAUACUUUUUUUAGGAAUGUAGUGAAGUAAAAGUUGUAAAAAAAUAUGUAUAGUAAAGAUACCCCAAAAAACAACUUAAGUACUUUACACCAGUGAGUGUUUUAGCACAUAGUAGACUAUGACAUUUAAAUUGGUCUCGGGAAAAUUGCACGAUGGGUCAU